UGGCUCAGGACCGAACGCUGGCGGCAUGCCUAAUACAUGCAAGUCGAACGAGCUUCCGUUGAAUGACGUGCUUGCACUGAUUUCAACAAUGAAGCGAGUGGCGAACUGGUGAGUAACACGUGGGAAAUCUGCCCAGAAGCAGGGGAUAACACUUGGAAACAGGUGCUAAUACCGUAUAACAACAAAAUCCGCAUGGAUUUUGUUUGAAAGGUGGCUUCGGCUAUCACUUCUGGAUGAUCCCGCGGCGUAUUAGUUAGUUGGUGAGGUAAAGGCCCACCAAGACGAUGAUACGUAGCCGNCCUGAGAGGGGAAUCGGCCACAUUGGGACUGAGACCCCGGCCCCCU
RNAcentral lists this ribosomal RNA (345 nucleotides) under Levilactobacillus brevis. Its description in RNAcentral is "bacterial SSU rRNA". It matches the Rfam family "Bacterial small subunit ribosomal RNA", at positions 20 to 340 of the family's 1533-position model. Lineage: Bacteria; Bacillati; Bacillota; Bacilli; Lactobacillales; Lactobacillaceae. The record is from RNAcentral.